Cololabis saira (Pacific saury) is the source of this 371-nucleotide long non-coding RNA. RefSeq lists it as uncharacterized. The record is from RefSeq and is a predicted model, not a curated record. The transcript has 3 exons. Lineage: Eukaryota; Metazoa; Chordata; Actinopteri; Beloniformes; Belonidae.
CACACACACACACACACACAUAUUGUUUGCACUGUUUAUCGUUCUAGUUGAUAUUGUGUUUGUUCAAAUUUCACACUUUUACACUGCAUUGUGUUUGCCUGUGAAAUAACCGUGUUUUGGAGUGUUUUUUUUCUGAAGUGUUUACAGGCUGGUGACGAGAUGCCACAGAAGGGAAAACGAUCCCGCGCCCAAAAGCUGCGCUGGAGCAAGCCGGACCAGGCGACCCAGCCGGAGACGUCACCGCCAGCCCAGCCGUUCGGGACCCAGAGGGAUGGAGCCAGCCCCUCCCAGUCUCCUGCCCAGAAGAUGAAGAAGCUGUGGACCCCUCUGCCGAUCUCACCCUCCUUCUCCCCUUACCAGGCUGGAAGGGU